AUAUUGUUACCAAGGAGAGAUGGUUAGCACUCUCCUUGACAAGGACGGAAGAGGCCCUUGGGCCUAACAACACGCAUACGGUUAAGGCAUUGUCAUCUACUUCCGUUUGGUUUU
Molecule: small nuclear RNA, 114 nt
Organism: Cricetulus griseus (Chinese hamster)
Lineage: Eukaryota; Metazoa; Chordata; Mammalia; Rodentia; Cricetidae
Source: Ensembl